This 301-nucleotide long non-coding RNA is filed under the name Homo sapiens (human). RNAcentral describes it as "HSALNT0183228". The record is from RNAcentral. Lineage: Eukaryota; Metazoa; Chordata; Mammalia; Primates; Hominidae.
CUGAGUCGAAGCUGUCAUAGGAGGGAACACGCUGCAGGCUGUUGAAAGAUGACUGGCUGCUCCAGGACUGGGUUUCAAGUUCAGGCCCAGACAAGAAGCAGGACACUGGUAAGGUGACUCCAUUUGGUGAAAUGCGACUGCGCUUGUGUCAAGGGAGAGAAGAGCAACCCAGUCAAGCUCCUGCCCAGAUGCCAACUCCCCUAGGAAAAGGAGAGGAAGGGAGACGAAGUGCACCUGCGGACAGAAAGCUCUGAACGACCCUGCAUGAUGCUGUCAGGAAACUGCUAGAGUCCAGGCUGUG